UACGAAGGGGGCUAGCGUUGCUCGGAAUUACUGGGCGUAAAGGGAGCGUAGGCGGACAGUUUAGUCAGAGGUGAAAGCCCAGGGCUCAACCCUGGAAUUGCCUUUGAUACUGACUGUCUUGAGUGUGGGAGAGGUGUGUGGAACUCCGAGUGUAGAGGUGAAAUUCGUAGAUAUUCGGAAGAACACCAGUGGCGAAGGCGACACACUGGCCCAUUACUGACGCUGAGGUGCGAAAGCGUGGGGAGCAAACAGG
This 253-nucleotide ribosomal RNA is filed under the name uncultured bacterium. Its description in RNAcentral is "partial 16S ribosomal RNA". It matches the Rfam family "Bacterial small subunit ribosomal RNA", at positions 524 to 776 of the family's 1533-position model. The record is from RNAcentral.